AAAUUGAAGAGUUUAAUCAUGGCUCAGAUUGAACGCUGGCGGCAGGCCUAACACAUGCAAGUCGAACGGUAACAGGAAGCAGCUUGCUGCUUCGCUGACGAGUGGCGGACGGGUGAGUAAUGUCUGGGAAACUGCCUGAUGGAGGGGGAUAACUACUGGAAACGGUGGCUAAUACCGCAUAACGUCGCAAGACCAAAGAGGGGGACCUUCGGGCCUCUUGCCAUCAGAUGUGCCCAGAUGGGAUUAGCUAGUUGGUGAGGUAACGGCUCACCAAGGCGACGAUCCCUAGCUGGUCUGAGAGGAUGACCAGCCACACUGGAACUGAGACACGGUCCAGACUCCUACGGGAGGCAGCAGUGGGGAAUAUUGCACAAUGGGCGCAAGCCUGAUGCAGCCAUGCCGCGUGUAUGAAGAAGGCCUUCGGGUUGUAAAGUACUUUCAGCGGGGAGGAAGGUGUUGUGGUUAAUAACCGCAGCAAUUGACGUUACCCGCAGAAGAAGCACCGGCUAACUCCGUGCCAGCAGCCGCGGUAAUACGGAGGGUGCAAGCGUUAAUCGGAAUUACUGGGCGUAAAGCGCACGCAGGCGGUCUGUCAAGUCGGAUGUGAAAUCCCCGGGCUCAACCUGGGAACUGCAUUCGAAACUGGCAGGCUUGAGUCUUGUAGAGGGGGGUAGAAUUCCAGGUGUAGCGGUGAAAUGCGUAGAGAUCUGGAGGAAUACCGGUGGCGAAGGCGGCCCCCUGGACAAAGACUGACGCUCAGGUGCGAAAGCGUGGGGAGCAAACAGGAUUAGAUACCCUGGUAGUCCACGCCGUAAACGAUGUCUACUUGGAGGUUGUGCCCUUGAGGCGUGGCUUCCGGAGCUAACGCGUUAAGUAGACCGCCUGGGGAGUACGGCCGCAAGGUUAAAACUCAAAUGAAUUGACGGGGGCCCGCACAAGCGGUGGAGCAUGUGGUUUAAUUCGAUGCAACGCGAAGAACCUUACCUGGUCUUGACAUCCACAGAACUUUCCAGAGAUGGAUUGGUGCCUUCGGGAACUGUGAGACAGGUGCUGCAUGGCUGUCGUCAGCUCGUGUUGUGAAAUGUUGGGUUAAGUCCCGCAACGAGCGCAACCCUUAUCCUUUGUUGCCAGCGAUUAGGUCGGGAACUCAAAGGAGACUGCCAGUGAUAAACUGGAGGAAGGUGGGGAUGACGUCAAGUCAUCAUGGCCCUUACGACCAGGGCUACACACGUGCUACAAUGGCGCAUACAAAGAGAAGCGACCUCGCGAGAGCAAGCGGACCUCAUAAAGUGCGUCGUAGUCCGGAUUGGAGUCUGCAACUCGACUCCAUGAAGUCGGAAUCGCUAGUAAUCGUGGAUCAGAAUGCCACGGUGAAUACGUUCCCGGGCCUUGUACACACCGCCCGUCACACCAUGGGAGUGGGUUGCAAAAGAAGUAGGUAGCUUAACCUUCGGGAGGGCGCUUACCACUUUGUGAUUCAUGACUGGGGUGAAGUCGUAACAAGGUAACCGUAGGGGAACCUGCGGUUGGAUCACCUCCUUACCUUAAAGAAGC
This 1554-nucleotide ribosomal RNA is filed under the name Salmonella enterica subsp. enterica serovar Typhimurium. RNAcentral describes it as "bacterial SSU rRNA". It matches the Rfam family "Bacterial small subunit ribosomal RNA". The record is from RNAcentral. Lineage: Bacteria; Pseudomonadati; Pseudomonadota; Gammaproteobacteria; Enterobacterales; Enterobacteriaceae.